UUUGAAGGUUAAAAGUGCUAGCGAAAAAACUUCAAGGUUUAAAGUGCUAGUAAGUGACACUUUCAAGGUUUUUUAUGCGAUUUUCCCUUAAAACUUUUAAAAAACAAUAAAAUAGUUAUCAUUUCAUUUUGGUCAAAAGUAUUUGUUUUUGGAGUUUGUUCGUCGAACUUUAAACACAUAAUUAUUUGCUUUGGCAAUACAUACCGACAUAUAAUAGCAUAAUAAAAAUACCAAAAUGAAAAGAUUGCUGGCAGAAAAACAAAGAAAAGUUGAGAGAGAGAUAUCGAAGAGAAGAAAGAGAAUUGGUUACAGCCCAGCCCUCAUAGGCUAAAAGUUUAAAUACUAAACUGAUAAUUAGCGGGCCAAUGUUAAGCAACUCAAUUAUGAUGUUUGAUUUGCCAAAUUAAUAAUUGAUUUUCAAUCAUAAACGGGUCUUUAUUCAAAAAGGCGUUAGAGAAUCGUGAAAUUAUCAGACUGUUCAAUGUUUUGGCAAUCCAUAGUGAAAAUAUAAUGUUGAGAUUUUCCUAAAGGUUAUUAUAAUUUAAUUUGCAGUGACAUUCACGAAGAUAUUACAUGAGAUUUGGAAUUUGUAUAAUUUUAAUGAGAUUUGAUCUGUGUAUAAUUUAGCAAAUGUUUCUAGAACAUCCCAAAAUCAUUUAAACUGCUUACAUUAUUCUUGUUAAAAAUUAUGAAAAAAUAACACAUUAUUUAAAAUUAUUAGAUAGUAUAUGAAAUGGUGUUGUGGUUAUAUCCAAAGUUGGAUCCCGAACCAUUGUCGUGUGUUUGGUUUGUUUCGUAUUAAUGUUUCAUUUCGACAAUUGGAUUCGUCAAAAGAUAAGUGGUUCCCCACGACCAUGUGAUCAGUUAAAGUAGAUGGAGCUAGAACCGUGAAAGUUAAAAGAAAAAAACAGUAAAAAUGUACAUAACAAAGAAGCCAUAUGGAUAUGGCGUAGUAAAAACAAUCGUCGAAGACACGCAAACCUCGAGUUCGUUACUUCACUUUAGAGGAACAUACUAUAUGAAAUUAAAUUAUAUCAAAAUUUAUGUGGUCAUCAUAAGUUUUGGUAAUUGAUUAAAAAUGCAAGUUAUCUUCGUUGAGAUGAGAUUGGAUCCUCGACACAUACUGCACGUGAAUAUUUUAUUUCAUUUUAAUGUAAAAAUUGGAACCAGAUAAACUGGUUUAUACAUAAUUCCUUAUUGGAAUAAUACAUAUAAAAUCUUUCCAUCUCAAAACCUUGAAUUGUGUACACACUAAUUUAUCUGAUUCCAGCUUUUAAUAACUAACAUGUGGAUACAAUAUAAAGAUAGUAACUUUUACACUACUGGAUACUGGUACAGUGGUACUAUCUAACCAGAUGAAAUCCAUUGUCAAAAAGUAUGUUAUGUAUGAGUUGUAUUUAGAAACUUACAAAUUAUGUUUAGAAACUAACAUAUUAAGUAUGUUUAGAAACUAGUCAUUUUCAGUUUCUCUAAAUCUCAGUUAAAUUUACUUUUAAAUUAUACGAAAUAUAUCUAUAUUAUCAUGUUAGACUUUGGUUUAUAUGGCACUAUGGCAGUGUAGAGUUAACAUCUAUGAGCACAUGUGAGGAUUGUUUCCACAAAAAUGUCGUUUACUUCGAACACAUCAUGUGUCAUGUCAUAUUAUUUUUCGAUUCCAAAAAUUAUUAAAUUAUUAUUCCUCAAUUUUUUUUCUUUGGAUAAUAUAUUGACUUCUUUAUGGUCGACUUAACUACAGAACCAUGCAUGAGAGUAACCGUCAGAGAAUAGGCUUUGAUUGGUGACUGAUGUGUCAUUGAUUAAGUUUGAGUUAGAAGCAUAACUCAAAAAAUGUUAGCAAUCAUGAAUUAGACUCCGAUUGGUGACAUGUUAUAUUAGAGUUGAUUUAUAAUAAAAGUUACAAUUCGAUGUAACUCGCUGUAAAAAUUAUGUGGUAGAAACUGUAGAUUUAUGUAGUGAGUUCGCUGUCAAAAUAUGAGUUACUAAUUUUUAAAAAUAGUUGACUGGUAAUAUUUUUGAUGUAUAAAUUGUAGUAGUUUAUUUAAAAUAUAAUUUUAUAAAUGCUAACAAUGAUAACAUUUAUCAUGAAUUUAGUAAAUUAGACUGAAAAUAUAAAAUAUAUAAUAAAAAUUAAAUAAAUAUACUUAAACAUGUAUAUAUAUACACAUUAUAGCAAAGAUAUUUAUAUAUUCACGUAAUUUCAUAUAUAAAAUUUCUAGUUACUAAACAUAGUUAACAGUUAAAAUUAAAGAAAUAAUUUUGUUUGAAUAAUAAUCCAAAUCAAAUAAGAAAAUUUAUAAAAAUCUUUGACUAACUAAUAAAUACUUACGUGAUUUUAUUUUUUGAAAAUGGUUUAGUAACUCAAGGAAAGUAAACGUGAUAAAUAAUUUCUCUGCAAUUCAAAUAGUAAAGUGUUAAAAAAAAGUAAAAGUAACCGUAAGGUAAUUGACAGAAAGCAAAAUAACUACUACCUCAACUCUAAUACACACGAUUUUGGUUGAUGUUGAUUAAGUAUUUGAGUUACCAAUUUUACAAAAGAGAUAACUCAAAAUUGUACCUCAAAUAUAACACAUUAUAACUCAAACAUAAACUCAAAAAAUAAAAAACAAAUCAUGAUUGGUGACAUUUUUGAGUUAUAACCACAAAUCAAACUUAAUCAAUAGUAACUCAUGUCACUAAUCAAAGCCUUAGUUUUAGAUUUUUGAGUUACUAUUUGAUGUAUAAUGUAUUAGGUUUGAGUUACAAUUUUGAGGUAUUCCUUUGGUAAAAUUGAUAAAUCAAGUGGUAAUUCAACAUCAAGAAAAAUACCAUGUGUUAAGAUUUGAGUUGGUAUGUUUUUUUGGUUUUCAACUAAAAACCCCACGUUCACUUGUUGCUAUAUUAAACAACUUGUUUUCUAAAUUCAUUUAAUAGUUGUCUAUUUUUAUUCACGUAAUUAUUUAAACAUUUUUUAUAUUUUAACUAUUAUUUAUAUUUAAUACUAACAUUAUAACAUAAUUUACUUAUAUGGAUGCCUUCUAUAAUAUAUAAUAAAUAGAUUUAAAUAUCUUACUUAUAUUUAAAUUAAUUGAUAUUUAUUUAUAUAAUCUUUUAUUAAUUUUUAAUAAAUAUUUUUAUUAUUUAUAAUUUUUUUGUAGAACAAAUUAUACAUAAAAUGAUAAUCAAUUAUUAUUAAAAUAGUAAUUCACAGUUUUGUGCAAACUUAUUAUAUGAAUAACAUAUAAAUAUGUGGACACCCUGUUUUAUAAUAACUAUGGUGAUGAUUGUUUUACUAGUUUUUGGAUUUUGGUUUCCGGUUUUUAGAUUUUAGUUUUUGAGUUUUUUGCUUUUGCAGUAGAUUUUAGUUUUUUGAAAAGCAUGAUUGGUUGUUUUAGAUUUUGGUUUUAGCUUUGGAUUUUUUUUUUAAAUUAAUAAAAUAAAAAUAUUAGUAAAAUUUUAUUUAAUAAUAUAAUAAUAAUAAUAAUAAUAAUAAUACCGUCAUCAAAAGAAAUAUAAAUAGUUUAAUAAAAUUGUUUAAAAAAAUAUAAAUACAAAAUAAAACUAUCGUAAUUCAUACAUAGAUACAUAAAUUUGAUAAUUCAUAUAUUUAUGUCAUAAAUCUUUUUUAAAUUAAAAUUAAUUCUAUGUGUAGGCAUAAUUUUUAUAUGUGAGUAUUUUUUUUCUUUUGUUGAACUAUUGUAUAUAAGGGUAAUAGCUAAAUUUUGUAAACACAAAAAUAAAUUAAAGUGUAACAAAUUUGCAAUAUAGAGACUUAAACAAUUUAAUUAAUUUGCUGUAACAUUUAUGUCAAAAAAAAACAUAACUAAAAUUAUUGAAUUUUUUUAAAAAAGAAAAUUUUUUUUUGGUCGUAGGGGAAAACCAAGAGAAUUUUGAUUUAUUUUUUAAGGAAAAUUAAAUUAUCAACAAAACAUAUAAAAUUUGCAUAAAAAUAAAUUUAAAUAACUAAUUUUAUAGACAAGUUUUAAAAUUGUUCUUAAUAGAACUUACUUUUGUGUUAUCAAUACAAUAUUAAAAGGGAUAUAUGAGCCUCAUCUAGGCUGUCCACGUCAUCAUAAAAAAUCAUCCAAUCAGGUUUUAACGUUUUGCCACAUAAUCAAGUGAUUUUUGAUAUUGGGCUUAAAUUUUUUUUAUGAGCCGGCAUGUUAAGCUGAAUGGUCCAGGAAAUCCAUUUAUUGAAAACAUCGUGACCUAAAGCAUUUCACGUAUGCAUUUCAUAAAGACAUGGGCCCCAUAGUUCUCGGUUUGGUUUGGUGAUUGUGUUAUGGCGUUUGGUUUUUAAGUUACGCGUCGGUUCAAUUAAUAUUUGGUUAAGUCAUCAAACACAGCGUUUUGUGUUUAAGUAGAUUAGGAUCUCUCUUAUUGUUCUCAGACUCUUGACCUUUGUAGUCUACGUUCAGUUUCUAUGCAAACACGAAACUUUUCUUCUACAAACUCUUAAUCUUCCCUUAUCGUUCAACGUAUUCUCUUGAUUUACCAAUUAAUGUUUUCGUAGUUUAACUCAGAAGCGAUGUCUUCCACUCCGUUUCAUUCAAGUCAAACCUAUAAAAUGGAGAGGGUCAAGGGUUGGCUGAAUCUUCACAAGACUCAGUAAAUUAAAUUACGAGGUUUCCGCUAUAUUUUAGGACUGAUGGCGUUUCACUCGAUAAAUUCUCUUCACAAAUUAACUCGAAUCACUUCUGCAGCCGGUUCUUCUGUUUGCAGCCAUGGUGAAGAACCUGAUAACCAGACCAAAUAUAAAGCUCCUUCUCAGUACCAUUUUCACUCUUUUAUAUUCGAUUUGUUGAUUAUUUUUUCAUAUCAGGAGUAUAUUUGAUUGCUGCCUGACAUAAGACCGGGGGUUGAUAUAAAAGUUAUAAGUUUGAGAACAAUCUUCUGAAAGAUAAAUUUAGAAACCGUUUAUGCUUCUGUUCUUUAGCUCAUGUUCAUAGUGUUCUCCUCUUCUUAACUCAUGUUCAUAUUGUUCUGAAACUCAAAAGUCAACAUUAUCAAGCUGUUAUAUUCGGAUCUUUAUUGAAAUCUUUUGAAUGAUUAAUGUAGACUUAAAAUAAAUGUGCAAAAAAAUAUUUUUUUGAACAAGUAUACAGUAAUAAAAGCGAUGUAUGGAGCUUGGGUUUAGUAAUGCUUGAAUUGCGCAGCAGGAAUCAUAUCCACCUCAGCUGAAGAGGAAACAUGGAGCAGUCUUCUCGAGUUCAUGGAAGCUAUUGAUGACCGCCCACCGCCCACUCUUCUUCCUUCAGAAAGUUUCUCCUUUUGCAAAAGGACCCAGUCGAAGCUCUGCAAAGGAUCUAAUGGUUUGUUGAAAUCACCAUCCUUGAAAAUCAUCUCAGGAACAUCCUUUCUUGAAGAAGUACGACGACAACUCUGGGACAAAUCUGGCAUCAUACUUCAGAGAUGCAUGGUCUCUGUUUGCAACGCUUAAGAAUCUGUCUGGUUAGUUCUCCGUUUAGGCUCCAGGAAGAUAUCAUAUUAUCAUCAUCAUCUGGUUGUUACUAUUAUUAUCUGAGGUUUCUUUGUUUUAAACCACCAGUAAAAAAAAUAUCCUGAUCAUAUAGAUUUGUGCUAAUGUUGUAUUUAAAGAUUAAAGGAUAUAUGAGCAUCAUGGGACUGAUUAGUGAGUUAUAUUUUUUUGACUAUUUCAAGAUUCAGCAUCUUUAGUGUUUUUUCCAAUGUUUCAAUUUGUAUAAUCAACUCACCUUUGCUUACAUGUUGUGUUGGUUUAUGUAGUUCAUAUUUACGGAUGUUAUUUUCAGUAAGUCAAUGUGAAUACGUUGUUUACAAUUUUAUAAGAAAAGGAGUCGUACAAAUAUUUUGACGACUGUUUCUGUCUCUCAAAACAUAUUUUAAGAGUCUCUGUGAUUCGUUAAAACGUAUAUAUUUCAUAAAGUAGAUUAUAUUACACUCAUAUUACUCAAUUAGUAUAUCUGUCAACCAUGAUAAGCUUAUUAUACUAUUCAACCAAAACUGAAAUAAAUAAUAAAGAAAAAGAAAAAUCUUAUUUGGCUGCGAGCCCUUCUGAACACGGGUAGUGCUUAGACCUGCUGUGCUAACAUUCCACAUAUUUCUUUUUUUUUUUUGAAUAAUACCAUUAUGUUAUACACGUCUUUGAAAAAGAAAUUUAUCGCACAAGAAAUUGGCCAUAACUGCAGGAAACUUCAAGUUUAAGGUUUGUGUGUAUAGCUAAGUUCUCUCUUUCUCUCUUAAGAGAUUCUUAUGAAUCAUCGGUAAGAAGAAGAAGAAGCAUUUCGUGUUUUCCUAAAAUUUUAGUAAAUCACUGACUUGAAAGCCGAAUGACUAAAAUAUGACUCUACAGAUCAGUGCUUGGACUGCAGAAACCAAAAAAACACAGUUUGAGGAAAAUACCCGGAAUUUAGAAGAUGGGUUAUGUUUAGCGGAGAUAUUCUUAUGAAUCAUCGGUAAGAAGAAGAAGCAUUUCGUGAUUCUUAUGAUCUCAGUAGAUAGAGAGAUAUUGAGUUGACGGAGUUAAAGUCGUUGUGUAAACAGGUUGAAUCGAAUUCUGCAACCCAUGAGCUGAUUAAUGUUAGGAUACUCACAUUGUUGACAUAAUCAUCAAAGCCAAAACAUAUUUGCAUAAUUAAUUAGAAAAGAUUAAGCAUAUUUAUAAUUAUAUUUUCCAGAGUUUGGUGCAAGAUAUUUCAAAACAAAAAUUUCAUUAAAAUAUGAAUAUAACCUAAUAAUUAGUUAAUUUAAAAAAAAUAUAAGAUACAUUUUAAAAGAAAAGUCAAGUUUUUAAAAUUAAAUAGGGACUGAACUACCAUCUAAUAAAUAGAUUAUAGUACUGCAUUAUGAGGAAAUGAGCAGAGAAGCUUGUUACUCACCAUUUUAGCUCAAUUAAAUAUAAUUAUAUUUUUGGAAUCAAAAUAAUAAAAAAAGAGGAAUUUAUAUGAGAACCCACAACGAUAAAAUCUAUUUGUAAUUAAAGCUAAAUGUUUUUAAAAUCUACAUAAAUAAAUUAUUAACAAAUAAAAUAAUUAAAAUUUGGUGAAAUACAUAACGUAACCAAUAAUACUUAAUAUAACAAAAUCUUAUACAUAAAAAUAAGGUAAAAAUAAAAUAAUUGAAUCCAACAACUUAUUGCUUAUUUUACAUUUCAUUACAGGAAGGUCACCAAAAAUUUUAAAAUACUGAAUUUUACUGUUUUUAAUCAUUAAACUCAAGCUGAAGAAAACUUAUAAAAUAUCGAGGGAAACCACGAAAAAUACAUAACCAGAAUAUAUAUUUUAAUAAAUAAUUUUUAAGAAAAAAAUAUAACACAAAAAAUUAAAAAGCAAAAAA
Brassica rapa (field mustard) is the source of this 7290-nucleotide long non-coding RNA. RefSeq lists it as uncharacterized. NCBI's taxonomy places the organism in Eukaryota, Viridiplantae, Streptophyta, Magnoliopsida, Brassicales, Brassicaceae. The record is from RefSeq and is a predicted model, not a curated record.